UUAAGGUCUUGGCUGAGAAGGUGACUCGGGCAGGCUCUGAGAGGGUGUCUGUUCUUAUCAGUUUAAUAUCUGAUACGCCCUCUAUAUGAGGGCUACAUAUUAAAUGGAUUUUUAGAACAGGGAGCAAGAACAGGAGCUUGCUCCUUCUGCUCCACNCAUCGACCUGGUAUUGCAGUACCUCCAGGAGCGGUGCACCUUCC
Molecule: small nuclear RNA, 200 nt
Gene: U2
Rfam family: U2 spliceosomal RNA
About the family: U2 is a small nuclear RNA (snRNA) component of the spliceosome (involved in pre-mRNA splicing). Complementary binding between U2 snRNA (in an area lying towards the 5' end but 3' to hairpin I) and the branchpoint sequence (BPS) of the intron results the bulging out of an unpaired adenosine, on the BPS, which initiates a nucleophilic attack at the intronic 5' splice site, thus starting the first of two transesterification reactions that mediate splicing.
Source: Ensembl